Molecule: ribosomal RNA, 447 nt
Filed under: uncultured bacterium
Lineage: Bacteria
Description: SSU rRNA
Rfam family: Bacterial small subunit ribosomal RNA
Source: RNAcentral
AGAACGAACGCUGGCGGCAGGCCUAACACAUGCAAGUCGAACGCUCGUAGCAAUACGAGAGUGGCAGACGGGUGAGUAACACGUGGGAACCUUCCCUUCGGUCGGGAAUAGCUCAGGGAAACUUGAGGUAAUACCGGAUACGCCCUUACGGGGAAAGAUUUAUCGCCGUUGGAUGGGCCCGCGUCGGAUUAGCUAGUUGGUGAGGUAACGGCUCACCAAGGCGACGAUCCGUAGCUGGUCUGAGAGGAUGAUCAGCCACACUGGGACUGAGACACGGCCCAGACUCCUACGGGAGGCAGCAGUGGGGAAUAUUGGACAAUGGGCGCAAGCCUGAUCCAGCCAUGCCGCGUGAGUGACGAAGGCCUUAGGGUUGUAAAGCUCUUUUGGCGGGGACGAUAAUGACGGUACCGCAGAAUAAGCUCCGGCUAACUUCGUGCCAGCAGCCGC